This 253-nucleotide ribosomal RNA is filed under the name uncultured bacterium. RNAcentral's name for it is "partial 16S ribosomal RNA". It matches the Rfam family "Bacterial small subunit ribosomal RNA", at positions 524 to 776 of the family's 1533-position model. The record is from RNAcentral.
UACGUAGGUGGCAAGCGUUGUCCGGAUUUACUGGGCGUAAAGGAUGCGUAGGCGGACAUUUAAGUCAGAUGUGAAAUACCCGAGCUUAACUUGGGUGCUGCAUUUGAAACUGGGUGUCUAGAGUGCAGGAGAGGUAAGUGGAAUUCCUAGUGUAGCGGUGAAAUGCGUAGAGAUUAGGAAGAACACCAGUGGCGAAGGCGACUUACUGGACUGUAACUGACGCUGAGGCAUGAAAGCGUGGGGAGCAAGCAGG